UACAGAGGGUGCGAGCGUUAAUCGGAAUUACUGGGCGUAAAGCGCGCGUAGGCGGCUUUGCAAGUCGGGUGUGAAAUCCCCAGGCUUAACCUGGGAACUGCAUUCGAGACUGCAUUGCUAGAGUAUGGGAGAGGGAAGUGGAAUUUCCGGUGUAGCGGUGAAAUGCGUAGAUAUCGGAAGGAACACCGGUGGCGAAAGCGGCGCGCUGGACCUCUUCUGACGCUGAGGCGCGAAAGCCAGGGGAGCAAACGGG
This 253-nucleotide ribosomal RNA is filed under the name uncultured bacterium. Its description in RNAcentral is "partial 16S ribosomal RNA". It matches the Rfam family "Bacterial small subunit ribosomal RNA", at positions 524 to 776 of the family's 1533-position model. The record is from RNAcentral.